Molecule: ribosomal RNA, 465 nt
Filed under: uncultured bacterium
Lineage: Bacteria
Description: partial 16S ribosomal RNA
Rfam family: Bacterial small subunit ribosomal RNA
Source: RNAcentral
CCUACGGGAGACAGCAGUGGGGAAUAUUGCGCAAUGGGCGAAAGCCUGACGCAGCGACGCCGCGUGAGGGAUGAAGGUCUUCGGAUCGUAAACCUCUGUCAGCAGGGAAGAACGGUCACUGUGCUAAUCAGCAGUGAAUUGACGGUACCUGCAAAGGAAGCACCGGCUAACUCCGUGCCAGCAGCCGCGGUAAUACGGAGGGUGCGAGCGUUAAUCGGAAUUACUGGGCGUAAAGCGCUCGUAGGCGGUAUGUCAAGUCAAGGGUGAAAUCCCCGCGCUCAACGUGGGAACUGCCUUUGAAACUGGCAAACUGGAGUGGGUGAGAGGAUAGUGGAAUUCCAGGUGUAGGAGUGAAAGCCGUAGAUAUCUGGAGGAACAUCAGUGGCGAAGGCGACUAUCUGGCACAUAACUGACGCUGAGGAGCGAAAGCGUGGGUAGCAAACAGGAUUAGAUACCCUGGUAGUC